AUCCAGAAGAUUCAAAUACGAAGCUAGAUCGAGGAAAGGAAAAAGUUCGGGAUUAAUAGAUUUUUACUGUUUACAAACAAGUAUCAAGGUAAGUUCAUGUAACUUGAAUUAUAUUCUUAAAUGCUUGAAAUGCAUGUUUUUGAUAUGAAUAUGAUUUGAAUGUUCAUUGUAUGAAAAUUUAUGAAACAUUGAUAUAUUUGAUAAAAUGGGAAGAAAUCCCGUUUGAAUGAAAGGAAAAUUCGAUGGAUCUCUGAAAAGGAAUUGACGGUAAAAAGGAUCUAGCCCGGACGGGUGAUCCUAUCCUGAUAUAGCCCUCCCGAAGAAUAUGUGUAAAAUGGAUUUAGCCCGGACGAGUAAUUCGAAUUAGGGUCUGAAUUUAGCCUGGACUGGUAAUUCAGAUCCAAGCUCAUUAGAGUAAUUGUCGUUGCAGGGGAUUUAGCCUGGACUGGUAAUCCCGACAAUACUCUAUGAGUUUAUAUUGCAGGGGAUUUAGCCUGGACUGGUAAUCCCGCUGCAAGGUUGAGGUUUGCGGGAGUGUGCUCUCUGAAAUGGAUAUGUGCGCACAUGAAUAUGAAUUGACGGACCCGGAAUUGUACACUAAAAGUGUACCUCUGAAAAUCCAUCGAAAUCCCGAUAAAUUCAACGGGAUAAAUAUGAAAAAUAAUAAGGGAAUGAAAAUCAUGGUAUUGAUGAGUACAUCAAUCAUGGUAUAUAUAUUAUUGAUACAUGGAAAUUAUUGUACUAACUUGAAUGUUGAGUUUGUGCAUGUUAGGGUAAUAAUGCAUUGAAUGGAUAUAUGAAUGUUUAUUAUAUUGUAUUGAAAAUAUUAGGUAAGUAUAAUUCUUGUUACAUGAGCUUACUAAGCACAAAGUGCUUACCCCGUUUCUUUUUUCCCUGUUUUGUAGUGUUAAGAGCUCGGAGGUCGGAUUUGGUCGGAGACACAUCACACUGUCAACCUCAAGAUUUCGGUAUAUAAAGAAACUUUAUUUUGGAAAUCAAUGGCAUGUAUAAGCUAACAAAGUAAAUGUUAACGUGAAAUGAAUGUAAAGUUAGCCAUUAGUAUGGUUAACAAACCUGGUUAUAGAUAUGUG
This 1091-nucleotide long non-coding RNA is filed under the name Gossypium barbadense (sea-island cotton). RNAcentral's name for it is "long non-coding RNA (GBAR_LNC009844)". The record is from RNAcentral. Lineage: Eukaryota; Viridiplantae; Streptophyta; Magnoliopsida; Malvales; Malvaceae.